AGACUGGAUUUGGCCUAUGGGUCAUAGUUUGCCCACUCUUGAUCUAAUCUAUAAACCAUGAUUUAUGAGAUUGUCUACUCUGGCUGUGAAGAACAGACACUAUUACUGGCUCUGGAAACACCACCUGGAACACAGCUGUGACUUGAUAAACAAGUGAAACAUUCUUUGGUGUGGUGAGGGGAAAACAAAUUUCUCAAAGGACACGCACCAUGGUGUAUGAGAGGACACUGGAGCCCAGCCAGCAUCUGACAUGCUGAAUUCAAAGUGCAGGUGAAAGUAGGACAACUGAUUCACAAGCUGGGAUGCCUGUGUUGUUGUUUGCCAGUGUGCGUGUGUGUGUUUUCCUGGCACCCUUCAUUCAUUCCCCAGCACAGUUGACAUCAGGUUGGAAGCAGUGAGUUCUGAGGGAGACUGCUAGAGGACCCAACUUGGAGAAUCAACGAUCUGCGAUGAAGAUAAUGAAGAUAAAGACAAUGUCAAUGUCAGCGUCCAAAAUCAUAAGGACCCUUUAAGAAGCUUCCAGAGCAGAAGUGACUGUGCAAGAAGGGCCAAUAAAGUCUAGGCAAUGCACGACCAGGCGCGGUCGCUCACGCCUGUAAUCCCAGCACUUUGGGAGGCCGAGGUGGUUGGAUUACCUGAGGUUAGGAGUUUGAGACCAGCCUGACCAACAUAGUUUCACCCCAUCUCUACUAAAAAAAAAAAAAAAAACAAAACAAAAGUUAGCCAGGUGUGGUGCUGCACACCUGUAAUCCCAGCUACUCUGGAAGCUGAGGCAGGAGAAUCGCUUGAACCCAGGAGGCGGAGGUGGCAGUGAGCUGAGAUUGCACCGCUGCACUCCAGCCUGGGCGACAGAGUGAGACUCUGUCUCAAAAAUAAAUAAAUAAAUAAAUAAUAAAGUCUAGGCAAUGCAGCAGACUGCAGACAAAUGGGUCUCCAGACUCAUGAGCACUUGGCUUUUGUUACUCUCACCUCCACCACCCUUUACCUGGUUCUAUAUCUGUCCUUUGGACCUUCCUGCAUUUACCUUCCUGCUUUUGCUCCUUAGUCUGGUUUUGUCCCAGAAUUUACUCUCCUACUGCCCGCUCUCCUGUCCCUGAUGGUUCAUAGUUUCUUACUAUCAGGGAGAAACCCUGAUAUUGACUUGGCCCAGCAGUAAUUCUGUCCAUGCAAUUCUCUUGCAUGGGCUGUGACAGGCAGACACCUCACUAAUUAGAUCAGCACAGGGGUCUGCAUACAUUUAGUGUGGGGACCUCCAGCCCAUCCUGGAGCGCACAAAUUUAGUUCAGCACCAUUCAGCUGCUGAAAUUUGAUGCAGUGGCCCUGGAUGACCAAAGAAUGUGGUGAUAAUUCUAAACAGGGUGUGUUCAUUAAGUGAAGGAAAUGUAGAAUACGUUUUAGAUGAAAAAGAAAUUUUUAAGUUUGGAGGGUAAAGAUCAAUCAUCCGUAAAACUAACUGAUAUAUAACAGUUCAUUUUUGUUGAUACUAGAUAAAUAAGGAGUGAAGACAUUUUCAGAAUUACAAUGGCAUUUAUCUGCCUUCAUUAAAUUAAGCUCAGGAAACUAAUGCAGACUCCAAAUUGCCCACAGUCUAACACAGUCUCUGCAUCUGCGGUUAACAAAAUUAAAUUUGGGAAAAUCAAGAGUAAGACUUUUAAUGUUUCUACCACCUGUCAGCCUGGAAAGUUUUCUUAGUUUUUCUUUUUGGAGAGGCAUUUGAGAUUUGUGUUCCUGUCAACUUGAGAGAGGAAUGGAGGAAGUCAAAGGGAAGAAGAGGAGCUGAUGUUGCAGUCCGAGGGGAAACAGGAGUGAGGGCAGGGAGCCCAGAAGAGGGUCAGGGUGAAGAUGGGUGUGGGGAAGGCAGAGCAAACCAGCUGCUGCUGUCAACCCUGACCUAUUUCCUGGAGCUCUGGGAGCCCUCCCAUCCCUGCUCUCAGCAACAGUGAUGCUGCCUUUGGGCGGCUGUGCAGCCAACCCACACUGAGUGAUAGCUGUCCCUGUCAUUUUCUUAAAUGUCACCAGUGAAAGAGACAUUUCCACCUCCCUGGAGUACACAUACUCCACUUGUGGAUAAGUGGACACUUGGUUCCAUUUUCACAGCUUCCAAAAAUUGGUCACAGAUGACUAACAAUUGUGUCAACUUCUCUGGUAUGAGAAGCCAUAGAUGGAGGUAUACAGAAAUGAUUUCUUAAAAAAUGUAAUGUCCUUUCUAUGUGGCAGUAAAACAUCUUUCCUGCCACUAGGAGAAAUGUGUUCUUUGAAUUAUUUUCACAGCCAUAAAGGCAGACCUGUGAAAGGCUAUCUGUACUGGAUAGUUCUCUGCUUUCAUGGAUUUUAUUCAGAAUCAUCCAUUCUUGGAAAUGGUGGGGAAAGGGGAAAUAAAAAGAGAACAAAUAUAUGUUGGAUUAGUUAGUAUAAAUUAUAAUUCAUAAACUACAGUGUCCAAGCAAUAUUACCUUCCACAUAUUCUAGAAUAGCUUGGUUCCUAUUUUUGAGCCCCUGCCUGGUGCCAGUAACGUGUUUUCAGCUAAUUCAGGGUUUCUGUCCCCAUUUUCCUUGGAGGAAUAUCUAAGUUCUUUGGGGAUAUUGCUGGUGCCAAGCAUGAAGCUGUUGGAGAACGAGGAGGCUUUGGCAUCUUGUCCUCAGCAUCACGUAAAUCCUAUCAGAACUUAGAAGUGAAAUGGGAAGGAUUGUUUAUCUCCUGCCCAACUAGCUGCUGGGUUGUUCCUUACUCCCACUCACAAGGUCUCUUUGUGUCACUCUAGGUCAUUUUGCUCUCCUGAGACAGUCUGGGAACCACUUUGAGGCUGUUUGAGUCCAGAGCCAUGGCCUAGGCCUCUUGCAGUGUGGGGAUCCUGCUGUGUUCCCUCAGCCGAAUCAGGGGCACUGGGCAGUGCCUUCCCCUCUCCUGGCCUAUUCUCAGCCACGCCUAAGUGAUCUUAUUUCAUCUUGACACUAACCUUGGAUAUUUGAAAUAGAAUUAUUCAUUUACAAAGGAGGAAAAUGAGAUUCAGACAAGCUAAAUACAUGCCAAAGCCACAUAACUACAAGUGGCAGAGCUCAGUCUGCUUUCCAAACCCAUGCGGCUCCCUUCAUCACCGUGACUCACCCACUUUAUCCCCCAACUUCGAGGAAGUCUCUUCUGAUCACCCAAGAAUAAUGUCUGCCUCCUUAGAAAUUUUGUAGCCGUUG
Long non-coding RNA from Homo sapiens (human), 3189 nucleotides. Ensembl annotates it as long intergenic non-protein coding RNA 578. The record is from Ensembl. NCBI's taxonomy places the organism in Eukaryota, Metazoa, Chordata, Mammalia, Primates, Hominidae.